AUUGAACGCUGGCGGAAUGCUUUACACAUGCAAGUCGAACGGUAGAGGGGGCAACCCCUCGAGAGUGGCGAACGGGUGAGUAAUAUAUCGGAACGUGCCCAGUCGUGGGGGAUAACGUAGCGAAAGUUACGCUAAUACCGCAUACGAUCUAAGGAUGAAAGCGGGGGAUCGCAAGACCUCGCGCGAUUGGAGCGGCCGAUAUCAGAUCAGGUAGUUGGUGGGGUAAAGGCUCACCAAGCCAACGAUCUGUAGCUGGUCUGAGAGGACGACCAGCCACACUGGAACUGAGACACGGUCCAGACUCCUACGGGAGGCAGCAGUGGGGAAUUUUGGACAAUGGACGCAAGUCUGAUCCAGCCAUUCCGCGUGCAGGAUGAAGGCCCUCGGGUUGUAAACUGCUUUUGUACGGAACGAAAAGGUCUCUCUUAAUACGGGGGACUCAUGACGGUACCGUAAGAAUAAGCACCGGCUAACUACGUGCCAGCCGCCGCCGUAA
This 496-nucleotide ribosomal RNA is filed under the name uncultured bacterium. RNAcentral's name for it is "partial 16S ribosomal RNA". It matches the Rfam family "Bacterial small subunit ribosomal RNA", at positions 30 to 523 of the family's 1533-position model. The record is from RNAcentral.